AACGUAGGACGCAAGCGUUAUCCGGAGUUACUGGGCGUAAAGCGCGAGCAGGCGGCUCGACAAGUUCGCUGUGAAAGCUCCCGGCUCAACCGGGCGAGGCCAGUGGAAACUAUCGAGCUGGAGGGCAGUAGAGGCAGGCGGAAUUCCGGGUGGAGUGGUGAAAUGCGUAGAGAUCCGGAGGAACACCAGAGGCGAAGGCGGCCUGCUGGGCUGCACCUGACGCUGAGCCGCGAAAGCCAGGGGAGCAAACGGG
RNAcentral lists this ribosomal RNA (253 nucleotides) under uncultured bacterium. RNAcentral describes it as "partial 16S ribosomal RNA". It matches the Rfam family "Bacterial small subunit ribosomal RNA", at positions 524 to 776 of the family's 1533-position model. The record is from RNAcentral.